Pan troglodytes (chimpanzee) is the source of this 3505-nucleotide long non-coding RNA. RefSeq lists it as uncharacterized. The record is from RefSeq and is a predicted model, not a curated record. The transcript is spliced from 3 exons. NCBI's taxonomy places the organism in Eukaryota, Metazoa, Chordata, Mammalia, Primates, Hominidae.
GGCUACCACACACUGACUGUGUGACCCUGGUCAAGUUAGUCACUCUCUCUGAUACUAAAGAUAAGAAAAUUGAACAUCAGAAUGGCCCUAAGAUAUGCAGCUAAUAAGAGAGCCAGGAUUCCAAAGCAGGUCUUCCUGAUCUCAAGGUCUAUAUUCAUAACCAUGUUGCUCUCCAACCCUUCAACCUGACACAAUGGGGUUCAAAAGAUGGAGGACCCUUAAAAAAAAACAACAACAAGGAUUCAGUCAUCAGGCCACUAGACAAUCAGUUUCAAAGACCUUUUUCUUCCCAUUCCAGGAGGCUCUAUGUAAAACAGCUAAAGAGUAGUUGAGAUAAAAAGCAAAGUGGGAAGGAGUCAACUUGCAGGUCACUGGGGUUGUGCCACCCAAGCAGGUCAGACUUGAGCUGCACAUCAGCCAUUUCACAUAGGUCUAUCUGCUAAAUACUUUGCUCAGCAUAGUGAGUGUCAGUUAAAACCACAGAGGGGCUUUCCACUUAGCUUCAGGCACACCCUGGGAACUACAGCUUUUGUGGACUUCACAAAUUGAGAACUAGUCUUGACAAUGAGCAUCAUUUUCACUAAAACUGAUCGCUGGCAUGUGUACCUGCAUACAGAAAAUAGGCUUAAUAUAAAUAACCAACCACAACACCAUGUGGAGAUGCACAGGCUUGUGAAAGCUUCCAGGUGCCCUUUAAAAUACUGGUGACUUACUGAAAAACACCACUGAGAGUGACUGAUUGGUAGAAAAAUCCUUGAAAAGAAUUAAUGGGCCUAUCUGUGGCAUCAGGAAAGAAAAUAGGAGCUUACUUAUCAAAGAGGAAUAGUUUAUCUACCUGGUAUUUCUAAUCCUAACUCUGGCCCAUUGAGAGGCCAUUCAAGCAUUCAGUCUCUGCUGAGGAAUGUGGCGGGUGCCGGAGGGGUUGGAGGGGGGAGUGCGGAAUGAACAGGCAGAUACGGCUCCUACAUCUACAAAGACCUGUACCUCCAGGCAUGAAGUCUGUUCUAGGUGUGGGGAUACCUGGUGAAGACAAGAAUGUUCUCUUCUUCAAGGUGGAGUAGACAGAGAACAACCACGUGCAUGCUAACAUUCUGAGAAAACAGGCCCUUGUUGUUAAGAAGCAUCAGGGAGAUCAGAUGCCUGAAACAAGUGGCCACAGGAGGGAUGAAGAGAUACACUGGGACCCAUCGCACAGGGAGGAAAGGGCCAUGUUGUAGAGCCAUCUUGCUGGCCCUGCACCCCAGGGUGUAGGAGAAGAUCUAGAUAUGCCCAGUGUACAGAAACUGGAACCUACCAUCUAAAUUUGACUGCCCCUCAGAUGUCUCUGGUUCUCAGCUUCCUGACCUGCAAAUGUGCAAGACUACACCAAUCUGCAGUCUCUUCUGGCUCUGAUUUCUGAAAAUCAAGUAUUUUCAAAUCCUAGGAACAUUAUUCUUCUCUCUUAGCAUGCUAGAUUUCCUUUUAAAUGAAAGAAAUUUUAAUUUAAAAAAAAAGUAACACAAAUAGCAUCAACAUGGAAAUAUAUUUGGGAAAGUAUCUGAUAUUCAAGAUUUCCACGCAAUUAAAAAGAUAGGCCAUAGUGUCAGGCUCAGAUUCUAAUUCCAGCCAUUUCGGUGUCCCUAUUUUGCAUCCUCUGACCUCCAAGAGAUAUUCUGAAAAGUCUACCUUGAAUUUAGUAUUCAAAGACUUCAUCAAUCUAAGAAGACAUGCAUUAAUAAUGCCUUUUUGGAGAUGAAGAAAUUAAGUCAGAAAGUAGGGAUCCAGGGCCAAAAAACUAGUAAAUGGAAAAAUCAGGAUUUUAACCCUGGAAAGCUUAACUCCAAAGUCUGUGCUUUCUGCCAUGUCUGACUGCUUCUCCAACUAAAAAACAUGUUUUAUUCUACUUUUUGUCACGUCCCAGUAUGGCGCAUGCUAAGCUUACUAUAGUUGCUUCAUGUUCCUAGUUUCUGAGAACAGAAGUUUGAAGGGAAUACAAGUGGUAAGCCAUUGGUGACUUCUCCACUUCAAUUAUGAGUUUAGACCCAAUUGUUUAUUCAUCAAAACAAACCUCAGAGCUGCCAACCACAGAUCUGGUCAUUGUGGGUUUUGUUUUGUUUUAUUUUUUAAUAAGGAGAGAAAGACCUAAUUUGGCAGAGGAGACCAAGAAGCCCGGGCUAUACAUUUGCAUAAAGAUGAUUACUAAAACUGAAGAAUUGCUUCUCAUAAAAAAAACUGAUGGAGUUAAAAAAAAAUCCAAAUGAAUUAAACCAGCAGUUCCUACCCUGUGAUUUGUAGAAAACUGUUUCUGAGAGAUGCUGGAAAGUAUUCUGGAGAAAACAAUUAAUUUGUUUACCAUUUGUAAAAUGGUAAAUUUGGAAAAUACUACAUUCUAACGAUAUCUUUUUCCUGGAGAUACUGAAUGCACGUCAGGCUAUCAAAGACUGGAAUGUUUUAAAGAAACAUGUUUAACUCUAUACUCCAACAAUUCCCAACAAAGAUAAAGUAAAUAAUUAAAUAACUAAUUACAAUCAGAAUACCUAGUUUUGUUUUUAUUUUUGCACACCUGCAGAACAAUGUUUUUUGGAACACCAAUAUAGAACACUAAAUUUUUAAAAAUGGGCCAGGCGUGAUGGCUCACGCCUAUAAUCUCAGCUCUCUGGGAGGCUGAGGUAGGUGGAUCACUUGAGGUCAGGAGUUCAAGACCAGCCUGGCCAACAUAGUGAAACCGCAUCUCUACUAAAAAUACAAAAAUUAGCCCGAUGUGGUGAUGGGCACUUGUAAUCCCAGCUAGUCGGGAGGCUGAGGCAAGAGAAGUGCUUGAACCUGGGGGGAAGAGGUUGAAGUGAGAUGAGGUAGAGCCACUGCUCUCCAGCCUGGGCGAUAGAGUGAGACUCUGUCUUAAAAUAAAUAAAUAAAUACAUAAAUAAUAAAUUAAUUUUAAAAAACUGAACAAAGUUAGGCCUCAAAAAAAUAUACUAUGUACAUCAGCUAAAGAGGUCUGACAAUUUUCUGAUGUCAACAACAGAUACUAUCAGCAAAAAGAUAAAUAAUUGUAAUCAAUUUUUAUAGAACAAACAAAACCAAGACAAAAGAACUAAGAGGGAAAAAUACAACAAAAAUCAUGCAUUAGACAUAUCGAAGUUGACAUCUCUAAUACAUACUUAGGAUGUAGAAUUCUUAUGUUGCUGCUAUAAAGACCCAGAAGAACAGAGGGACAAAAAACAUUAACACAAGAAACCGAAAAUAGCAAACAUAUGCAAGUAAUUUCAAUUGCACUGAUAAGUUUAAAAUUCCACAUGGAACAAUAAUAAAAUGCAUUUUUUUAUCCUUCUAAAGCUGUAAGAAAUAGAAAAAAGAAAUUUGGUGAAUGGAGAGGCUUUGGAGAAAUGGCCACAAACCAUACAGAAGACAAAUUAUAUUUCAAGUCACAAAACCACCCUUACAUUUGACAUAGUAAAUCCAGUCCUGAUAAUUCCUUUCAAAACAACUGUUGCCAUUUCCUCAAUAAUAAAGGAUGUGUAUUAUC